CUGAUCGACGGGGGGACAAUUUCUCCCGAAAAAACUAUUUUGACUGCCGACGCCUUCAUUAAAGGGAUCAUUGAAUUUUCCGUCAGCAGUCCGGUACGGAUAAUUAGCAGGAUCAAACCGGAUCCCAGUCGGAGUUUGACCGACGUUGAGAAGAUUGUAUUGUUGGUGAAGAUGUCUUCGUACUUCAAGAUAGGUUAACCCCAAGAAUACUGGAAGCUUAUGCCAUGGAACCAUCUUAUCCACUCCAUGCACG
RNAcentral lists this small RNA (253 nucleotides) under Arabidopsis thaliana (thale cress). RNAcentral describes it as "ATSL129860". The record is from RNAcentral. Lineage: Eukaryota; Viridiplantae; Streptophyta; Magnoliopsida; Brassicales; Brassicaceae.